Molecule: ribosomal RNA, 459 nt
Filed under: uncultured bacterium
Lineage: Bacteria
Description: partial 16S ribosomal RNA
Rfam family: Bacterial small subunit ribosomal RNA
Source: RNAcentral
CCUACGGGAGGCAGCAGUGAGGAAUAUUGGUCAAUGGCCGGGAGGCUGAACCAGCCAAGUCGCGUGAGGGAAGACGGCCCUACGGGUUGUAAACCUCUUUUGUCAGGGAGCAAGGUGCAGGUCGGGACCUGCUGUGAGAGUACCUGAAGCAAAAGCAUCGGCUAACUCCGUGCCAGCAGCCGCGGUAAUACGGAGGAUGCGAGCGUUAUCCGGAUUUAUUGGGUUUAAAGGGUGCGCAGGCGGAGGCACAAGUCAGCGGUAAAAUCGCGGGGCUCAAACCCCCUCCGGCGUUGAAACUGUGUCCGUUGCGUGCGCGAAGGGUAGGCGGAAUGCGGGGUGUAGCGGUGAAAUGCAGAGAGAUAACGCAGAACUCCGAUCGCGAAGGCAGCCUACCGGCGCGCAACUGACGCUCAUGCACGAAAGCGUGGGUAUAGAACAGGAUUAGAGACCCUUGUAGUC